GACGAACGCUGGCGGCGUGCUUAACACAUGCAAGUCGAACGGUGAACCUCUUCGGAGGGGAUCAGUGGCGAACGGGUGAGUAACACGUGGGCAACCUGCCCCCGGCUCUGGGAUAACUCCAAGAAAUUGGGGCUAAUACCGGAUGUUCACCGCUUCCCGCAUGGGUGGUGGUGGAAAGGGUUUCCGGCUGGGGGUGGGCCCGCGGCCUAUCAGCUUGUUGGUGGGGUAGUGGCCUACCAAGGCGACGACGGGUAGCCGGCCUGAGAGGGUGACCGGCCACACUGGGACUGAGACACGGCCCAGACUCCUACGGGAGGCAGCAGUGGGGAAUAUUGCGCAAUGGGCGGAAGCCUGACGCAGCGACGCCGCGUGGGGGAUGACGGCCUUCGGGUUGUAAACCUCUUUCAGCAGGGACGAAGCGCAAGUGACGGUACCUGCAGAAGAAGCACCGGCCAACUACGUG
This 463-nucleotide ribosomal RNA is filed under the name uncultured bacterium. RNAcentral describes it as "partial 16S ribosomal RNA". It matches the Rfam family "Bacterial small subunit ribosomal RNA", at positions 28 to 507 of the family's 1533-position model. The record is from RNAcentral.